This 261-nucleotide ribosomal RNA is filed under the name uncultured bacterium. Its description in RNAcentral is "partial 16S ribosomal RNA". It matches the Rfam family "Bacterial small subunit ribosomal RNA", at positions 524 to 784 of the family's 1533-position model. The record is from RNAcentral.
UACAGAGGGGGCGAGCGUUGUUCGGAAUUACUGGGCGUAAAGGGCGCGUAGGCGGCCUCUUAAGUCGAACGUGAAAUCCCCGGGCUCAACCCGGGAACUGCGUCCGAUACUGGGGGGCUUGAAUCCGGGAGAGGGAUGUGGAAUUCCAGGUGUAGCGGUGAAAUGCGUAGAUAUCUGGAGGAACACCGGUGGCGAAGGCGGCAUCCUGGACCGGUAUUGACGCUGAGGCGCGAAAGCUAGGGGAGCAACCGGGAUUAAGAA